CCUACGGGAGGCAGCAGUAGGGAAUCUUUCACAAUGGGCGAAAGCCUGAUGGAGCAACGCCGCGUGCAGGAUGAAGGCCUUCGGGUUGUAAACUGCUUUUAUAAGCGAGAAAUAUGAUGGUAACUUAUGAAUAUGGAUCGGCUAACUACGUGCCAGCAGCCGCGGUCAUACGUAGGAUCCGAGCAUUAUCCGGAGUGACUGGGUGUAAAGAGUUGCGUAGGUGGGAUAAUAAGUAGCUAGUGAAAUCUGGUGGCUCAACCAUUCAGACUAUUAGCUAAACUGUUAAGCUCGAGACCGUUAGGGGUAAGUGGAAUUUGUAGUGUAGGAGUGAAAUGCGUAGAUAUUAGAAGGAACACCAAUAGCGUAGGCAGGUUACUGGGACGGUUCUGACACUAAGGCACGAAAGCGUAGGGAGCAAACGGGAUUAGAUACCCCUGUAGUC
RNAcentral lists this ribosomal RNA (442 nucleotides) under uncultured bacterium. RNAcentral describes it as "partial 16S ribosomal RNA". It matches the Rfam family "Bacterial small subunit ribosomal RNA", at positions 338 to 795 of the family's 1533-position model. The record is from RNAcentral.